Molecule: ribosomal RNA, 484 nt
Filed under: uncultured bacterium
Lineage: Bacteria
Description: partial 16S ribosomal RNA
Rfam family: Bacterial small subunit ribosomal RNA
Source: RNAcentral
AUUGAACGCUGGCGGCAUGCUUUACACAUGCAAGUCGAACGGCAGCGCGGGCUUCGGCUUGGCGGCGAGUGGCGAACGGGUGAGUAAUACAUCGGAACGUGCCCAGCAGUGGGGGAUAGCUCGGCGAAAGCCGGAUUAAUACCGCAUACGACCUGAGGGUGAAAGCGGGGGAUCUUCGGACCUCGCGCUAUUGGAGUGGCCGAUGGCAGAUUAGCUAGUUGGUGGGGUAAAGGCCUACCAAGGCGACGAUCUGUAGCUGGUCUGAGAGGACGACCAGCCACCCUGGGACUGAGACACGGCCCAGACUCCUACGGGAGGCGGCAGUGGGGAAUUUUGGACAAUGGGCGAAAGCCUGAUCCAGCAAUGCCGCGUGUGUGAUGAAGGCCUUCGGGUUGUAAAGCACUUUUGGCGGGAACGAAAAGGACUGUGCCAAUACCACGGUUCGAUGACGGUACCCGCAGAAUAAGCACCGGCUAACUACGUG